Molecule: transfer RNA, 84 nt
Filed under: Acidimicrobiia bacterium
Lineage: Bacteria; Bacillati; Actinomycetota; Acidimicrobiia
Description: tRNA-Leu
Rfam family: tRNA
About the family: Transfer RNA (tRNA) molecules are approximately 80 nucleotides in length.
Source: RNAcentral
GCCCGGGUGACGGAAUUGGCAGACGUAGCGGACUUAAAAUCCGUGGCCCUUCGGGGCGUGCAGGUUCGAACCCUGCCCCGGGCA